GACGAACGCUGGCGGCGUGCUUAACACAUGCAAGUCGAACGGAAAGGCCCUGCUUUUGUGGGGUGCUCGAGUGGCGAACGGGUGAGUAACACGUGAGUAACCUGCCCUUGACUUUGGGAUAACUUCAGGAAACUGGGGCUAAUACCGGAUAGGAGCUCCUGCUGCAUGGUGGGGGUUGGAAAGUUUCGGCGGUUGGGGAUGGACUCGCGGCUUAUCAGCUUGUUGGUGGGGUAGUGGCUUACCAAGGCUUUGACGGGUAGCCGGCCUGAGAGGGUGACCGGCCACAUUGGGACUGGGAUACGGCCCAGACUCCUACGGGAGGCAGCAGUGGGGAAUAUUGCACAAUGGGCGGAAGCCUGAUGCAGCAACGCCGCGUGCGGAAUGACGGCCUUCGGGUUGUAAACCGUUUUCGCCUGUGACGAAGCGUGAGUGACGGUAAUGGGUAAAGAAGCACCGGCUAACUACGU
Molecule: ribosomal RNA, 467 nt
Filed under: uncultured bacterium
Lineage: Bacteria
Description: partial 16S ribosomal RNA
Rfam family: Bacterial small subunit ribosomal RNA
Source: RNAcentral